This 229-nucleotide ribosomal RNA is filed under the name uncultured bacterium. RNAcentral's name for it is "partial 16S ribosomal RNA". It matches the Rfam family "Bacterial small subunit ribosomal RNA", at positions 568 to 796 of the family's 1533-position model. The record is from RNAcentral.
UGCGUAGGCGGUUUAAUAAGUCAGAGGUGAAAGCCCGCAGCUCAACUGUGGAAUUGCCUUUGAUACUGUUAGACUUGAAUCAGGUUGAGGUUGGCGGAAUGUGGCAUGUAGCGGUGAAAUGCAUAGAUAUGCCAUAGAACACCAAUUGCGAAGGCAGCUGACUAGACCUGUAUUGACGCUGAGGCACGAAAGCGUGGGGAGCAAACAGGAUUAGAUACCCUGGUAGUCC